GUCCACGCCCUAAACGAUGAGAACUUGAUGUUGGUCCCGCAAGGGAUCAGUGUCGGAGAUAACUCGUUAAGUUCUCCACCUGGGAAGUACGCUCGCAAGGGUGAAACUCAAAGGAAUUGACGGGGCCCGCACAAGCGGUGGAACAUGUGGUUUAAUUCGAUGCAACGCGAAAACCUUACCUAGGUUUGAAAGGCCGGUAGUAAAGAGAUGAAAGUCAAAUGAACCGUAAAGUCGGUUGCCGGUACAGGUGCUGCAUGGCUGUCGU
Molecule: ribosomal RNA, 265 nt
Filed under: uncultured bacterium
Lineage: Bacteria
Description: partial 16S ribosomal RNA
Rfam family: Bacterial small subunit ribosomal RNA
Source: RNAcentral